RNAcentral lists this ribosomal RNA (253 nucleotides) under uncultured bacterium. RNAcentral's name for it is "partial 16S ribosomal RNA". It matches the Rfam family "Bacterial small subunit ribosomal RNA", at positions 524 to 776 of the family's 1533-position model. The record is from RNAcentral.
GACGUAGGAGGCGAGCGUUGUCCGGAUUCAUUGGGCGUAAAGAGCGCGCAGGCGGCCAUACAGGUCCGUUGUGAAAACUGGAGGCUUAACCUCCAGACGUCGAUGGAAACCGUAUGGCUAGAGUCCGGAAGAGGAGAGUGGAAUUCCUGGUGUAGCGGUGGAAUGCGCAGAUAUCAGGAGGAACACCGGUGGCGAAGGCGGUUCUCUAGUACGGUACUGACGCUGAGACGCGAAAGCGUGGGGAGCGAACAGG